Molecule: unclassified non-coding RNA, 244 nt
Filed under: Ascomycota sp.
Lineage: Eukaryota; Fungi; Ascomycota
Description: partial contains small subunit ribosomal RNA, internal transcribed spacer 1, and 5.8S ribosomal RNA
Rfam family: Eukaryotic small subunit ribosomal RNA (bases 1-47)
Source: RNAcentral
AAAGUCGUAACAAGGUUUCCGUAGGUGAACCUGCGGAAGGAUCAUUACCGAGAGACGGGCCCUAACCGGUCCCAACUCUUCACCCCUGUCUACCGAAAUAUGUUGCUUUGGCGGGCACGAGAAGGGGUCAGCCUUCCCCGGGGAAGCCCGGUUGGCCCGCCAAAGGCCUCAAUAAACCCUGUGAUCAGUGUCGUCCGAGUAAAAACAAUCGUUAAAACUUUCAACAACGGAUCUCUUGGUUCCG